RNAcentral lists this unclassified non-coding RNA (391 nucleotides) under soil metagenome. RNAcentral describes it as "partial contains 5.8S ribosomal RNA, internal transcribed spacer 2, and large subunit ribosomal RNA". The stretch from base 1 to 122 matches the Rfam family "5.8S ribosomal RNA", at positions 35 to 154 of the family's 154-position model. The record is from RNAcentral.
GAUGAAGAACGCAGCGAAAUGCGAUACUUGGUGUGAAUUGCAGAAUCCCGUGAACCAUCGAGUCUUUGAACGCAAGUUGCGCCCGAAGCCACUAGGUCGAGGGCACGCCUGCCUGGGCGUCACACGCCGUUGCCCCCCCAUCUACUCCUUCGGGAUUGCGGGGGGGCGGAUGAUGGCCUCCUGUGCGCCUAGCCGCGCGGUUGGCAUAAAUACCAAGUCCUCGGCGACGCACGCCACGACAAUCGGUGGUUGCGAAACCUCGGUUGCCCGUCGUGUGCGUUCGUCGCGCAUCGAGGGCUCGAAAAAAUGCUCGGCUCCGGCUGGGCUUUCAACGCGACCCCAGGUCAGGCGGGGUUACCCGCUGAAUUUAAGCAUAUCAAUAAGCGGAGGA